GGAAAUCCGUUACAAUUGUGAGUGGUGAUUGGUAGGAUAAUAGGGAAAGAUUGAGGCCCCUAUUGUGGGUAAUUUGUGUUCUUCCAUAUUUGUAUUUUUUUCCUUUUUUAAUUGCUCUCUGUAUAGUUGUUAAAUAGGGAUAUGUUUAUGUAAAAGUUAAGGUUUUUGAAUGAAUUCAGAAAAUCAUUUUCUCAGUUUCUUCAUGGUAUCAGAGCCUUAUUUGCUCUAAAACCCUAAUCUGUCCAUGGAUGCCCAAAGAGGAAGCAACCACGAAAGAGUGUCGGAGAUACACUCUUCGAUGGGUCCCGUCGAUGCAUUCGACAACUCCCCACUCCACCUUACCAUUGAAAAAUUGAAUGGUAAGAAUUACAGAGAGUGGGCUCAAGCAAUCAAACUCGUAAUUGACGGAAAGGGAAAGAUAGGGUUCCUUACCGGCGAGACUCGGCGACCACCUCCGACCGAUGUAGCAGCAUCUCAGAAAUGGCGGUCAGAAAACUCCUUUAUCACCUCGUGCUUGAUUAAUUCCAUGAAACCAUCCAUUGGAAAGACUUACAUGUUUCUCCCAACGGCAAAGGACGUGUGGGAUGCGAUACGGGAAACGUAUUCCGAUGCUGAGAAUGCUUCCCAAAUCUUUGAAAUCAAGACGCGGCUUUGGCAGAUGAAGCAAGGAGAUCGGGAAGUCACGGAAUACUACACCGAGAUGCUAGGUAUGUGGCAAGAGCUCGAUCUUAGUUGCGAAGAAGAGUGGGAGUGCACGGGGGACAGCGUGCGCUUCAAGAAGAAGAUGGAGAAUGAGAGGGUCUUCGAGUUCCUAGCGGGGUUGAACCGCGAGCUUGAUGACGUUAGGAGUAGGGUUCUCAGUCGCCGGCCGUUGCCCUCCAUCCGAGAAGUCUUCUCUGAGGUGCGACGAGAGGAGAGCAGAAGGAGAGUGAUGUUAGAUCACUCAGUUGGGCCUGAGGGCUCAGCCCUUUUAACUUAUGGUCCUCAUGGGCCCCAUGGGCCUUAUGCUAUUGCUGGACGUGGGCCUUCUGUUGCUGGAUCUAGUGGGCCAAGCCCAAGACAGUCCAAGAGGACUUAUUGUGAGCAUUGUAAGAAGUUGGGCCACACUAAAGACACUUGUUGGGCCUUACAUGGCAAGCCCGCAGAUUGGAAGCCCAGACAGCCCAAUAAAGCCCACAGUCAUCAGGCCUCCACCGAAGCCCAGGCAGACAAAACUCCCAUAGAAGUUUGUCAGUCAACUUCUAGUGUGGGGUUUAAUUCCAACCAGAUUGCGAAAUUAUAUGAGCUUUUUUCUAAUUUCCAAGCCUCUGGUCAGUCUUCUACCACUUUAUCCUCUGGUUCUUUGGCAAAAAAAGGUACCUUUUUUACAGCACUUAGCACCAUGUCUCAGACUAUUCCUUGGAUUGUUGACUCUGGUGCAUCUGAUCAUAUGACAGAUGCUCAUCAUUUAUUUUCUACAUAUUCUCCCUGUGCCGGUAAUUUAAAAGUAAAAAUUGCAGAUGGUACUUUAUCACCAGUUGCUAGCAAAGGGAGUAUUCGUAUUUCUGAGUCAAUUACUCUCAACCUUGUCCUACAUGUACCUAAUUUGUCUUGCAAUUUGCUGUCUAUUAGCCAGUUAACCAAAAAGUCUAAUUGCUCAGCUAAAUUCCUAUCAUCUCACUGUGUUUUUCAGGACCUAUCAUCGGGGAAGACAAUUGGCAGUGCUAAGGAACGUGAGGGUCUAUAUUACUUCGACGAAACUGAUGUGCUUGGACAGAGUUCUCCUACUAUUUGUAAUUCUACAUCUUAUUCUAAGGAUAGUGAACUUUUGUUAUGGCACAAAAGGAUGGGUCAUCCUAGUUUUCAGUACUUAAAACAUUUAUUUCCCUCGCUAUGUUCAAACAAAACGAUAUUGGAUUUUCAGUGUGAAGUGUGUGAACUUGCCAAACAUCAUCGAACGUCUUUUCCUAAAUCUAAGUAUAAACCAUCCAUACCAUUUACUCUAAUUCACAGUGAUCUAUGGGGUCCCUCACGUACCCCUAAUAGGACCCAUAAAAAAUGGUUUAUUACUUUUAUUGAUGAUCAUACUCGCCUAUGUUGGGUAUAUUUGUUGACUGAUAAAACUGAGGUUCGAUCAGUCUUCAUGAACUUUCACAAUAUGAUACAAACUCAGUUUCACACCAAAAUUCAAAUUCUUCGUACUGAUAAUGGUACAGAGUAUUUUAAUCACUCCUUGAGCACUUACCUUCAAAAAAAUGGUAUUAUACAUCAAAGUUCUUGUGUUGACACACCUCAACAAAACGGGGUUGCAGAACGGAAAAAUAGACAUAUUCUUGAAGUUGCUCGUGCUUUGUUAUUUUCAUCUCACAUGCCAACACAAUUUUGGGGUGACUCCAUUUUGACAGCCACAUAUCUUAUUAACCGAAUGCCUAGUCGGGUCCUAUCCUUUGUCACACCCCUCCAAAAAUUCCAUGAGUUUUUUCCUCAUUCGAGACUUGAUGCACACCUUCCACUUCGUGUCUUUGGGUCCACUGUGUUUGUCCACAUUCAUGGACCUAAGCGGAACAAAUUUGAUCCCAGAGCACUUAAAUGUGUCUUUCUUGGCUACUCUUCCACACAAAAAGGCUACAAAUGCUAUGACCCAAUUUCACAGAAGCUAUAUGUUAGCCUAGAUGUCACAUUUUUUGAGCAUACUCCCUACUACUCGCUUCAGGGGGAGUCCAUGAGUGAAACUAGACCUUCCUUAACCUCUGACUAUCUUGAUGUUGCUAUGUUUGAAUCCACUCCGUGCUUUAUAUCUAACCCUUCACAUAAUACAGAAGGACACUUAAACUUAGGGGGAGAUAUGGAAUUACAGACAAAUAGGGAAACACUUGUCUAUUCAAGAAGGCCAAAAUCGAAGUUCAAUGAGACACUCAUCUCCGAAGCACUACAAGAGUCAGAAUCGGUGAUAGUUCCAACCCCUCGAGAGUAUGACUUCAAUUCUGAUCAGGUAACAGAUGACUUACCCAUUGCUAUUAGGAAACAACCUCGUUCAUGUACUCUCCAUCCUAUCUCAAACUUUGUGUCUUAUAAUUCUCUUUCUGCAAAGUGUCGUGCCUUUACAACUAACCUUGACAGAAUCCAGCUUCCUAAAAACAUUCAAGAAGCUUUCGAAAUUCCAGAAUGGAAAGAGGCUGUGAUGGAAGAAAUAAGGGCAUUAGAAAAAAAUGAGACUUGGGAAGUGAUGAAUUUACCAAGGGGGAAGAAACCAGUGGGCUGUAAAUGGAUAUUCACAAUGAAAUAUAAGGCGGAUGGCACAGUAGAACGAUACAAAGCCCGCCUAGUUGCAAAGGGGUUCACUCAGACCUAUGGCAUCGACUAUACUGAGACAUUUGCACCAGUAGCAAAGCUGAACACUAUACGAGUUCUUUUAUCCUUAGCAGCAAACCUCGACUGGCCACUCCAUCAGUUUGAUAUAAAGAAUGUCUUUCUGAAUGGAGAACUAGAAGAAGAAGUGUUUAUGAUGUUACCACCAGGGUUCUGUAAGGAAGAAGAAGAAACCAGGGUAUGCAAAUUGAAGAAAUCUCUUUAUGGUCUCAAACAAUCACCCAGAGCAUGGUUUGAUAGAUUUGCAAAGGUGAUUAAGAAUCAAGGAUACCAACAGGGACAGUCAGAUCACACAAUGUUCUUCAAACAGUCCAAUGAUGGAAGGAUGACCAUUCUAAUUGUCUAUGUCGAUGACAUCAUUCUCACUGGAGAUGACACAGGAGAAGUGGAAAGAUUAAAGAAGGUCUUAGCCACAGAAUUUGAGGUGAAAGAUCUGGGUCAAAUGCGGUAUUUCCUAGGAAUGGAGGUCGCCAGAUCAAGAAAGGGAAUUAGUAUUUCCCAAAGAAAGUAUGUACUUGAUUUGUUGACUGAGACUGGCAUGCUGGGAUGCAAGCCAAGCGAUACCCCUAUCAAGGCAAGAAACAGAAUGGAAAGUGACGGAAAGCCUGUGGAUAGAGAGAAAUAUCAGCGACUAGUAGGUAGACUGAUCUACCUUUCUCACACUAGACCUGACAUUGCUUUCGCCGUAAGCGUGGUUAGCCAAUACAUGCACUCACCAAAGGAAAGUCAUUUGGAAGCAGUGUAUAAGAUCCUCAGAUACCUAAAAGGUUCUCCAGGGAGAGGACUAUUCUUUAAGAAGAGUGACAGUAAGAAAGUAGAGAUUUACACAGAUGCAGAUUGGGCGGGAUCAGCAGAUGAUAGAAGGUCUACUACAGGUUACUGUACCUAUGUCUGGGGCAAUUUAGUAACAUGGAGAAGUAAAAAGCAGAGUGUAGUGGCUAGAAGCAGUGUCGAAGCUGAAUUCAGAGCAGUUGCACAAGGUAUGUGUGAAGGACUAUGGUUGAAAAAACUGUUGGAAGAACUAUGCAUUACAAUAGAGCUCCCCAUUAAACUCUAUUGUGACAACAAAGCUGCCAUUAGUAUUUCUCAUAAUCCUGUUCAGCACGACAGAACCAAACAUAUAGAAGUGGACAGACACUUUAUAAAGGAAAAAAUUGAGAAAGGGAUUAUUUGCAUGACUUAUAUCCCUACAAGGGAACAAUUGGCCGAUAUUUUCACCAAGGGGUUACAGAAAUCAAGCUUUGAAGACUUUAUGGGCAAGUUGGACAUGAUUAAUAUCUAUGAUCCAACUUGAGGGGGAGUGUGGAAAUCCGUUACAAUUGUGAGUGGUGAUUGGUAGGAUAAUAGGGAAAGAUUGAGGCCCCUAUUGUGGGUAAUUUGUGUUCUUCCAUAUUUGUAUUUUUUUCCUUUUUUAAUUGCUCUCUGUAUAGUUGUUAAAUAGGGAUAUGUUUAUGUAAAAGUUAAGGUUUUUGAAUGAAUUCAGAAAAUCAUUUUCUCAGUUUCUUC
RNAcentral lists this long non-coding RNA (4854 nucleotides) under Vitis vinifera (wine grape). RNAcentral's name for it is "long non-coding RNA (VVIN_LNC003200)". Lineage: Eukaryota; Viridiplantae; Streptophyta; Magnoliopsida; Vitales; Vitaceae. The record is from RNAcentral.